Molecule: non-coding RNA, 1460 nt
Organism: Chiloscyllium plagiosum (whitespotted bambooshark)
Lineage: Eukaryota; Metazoa; Chordata; Chondrichthyes; Orectolobiformes; Hemiscylliidae
Source: RefSeq, a predicted model, not a curated record
UAUGCGCACAAAUUUUGGCAUAGACAUCAGCGAAAGCACAGAAUGAAGUGUGCGAAAUAAUCACCGCUGGAAUCGCACUAUUGCCAACAGAGAUACCCACCUUGGCAAGGAAUGAUUGAGACAGGAAAUGCAAAGAUACUUUCAGCAGCUAACAUCUUCUCAGAGUUUCUCCAUUCACCGGUAAAGCACACCUUCAGACCACCGCAUGUCCCUCCACAACCGGAUCCAAAGAUUCAAUCAGCUCCCCAGUAAUGAGCUCGAAAAGUGAAGAAGCUAACAACAGUGAAGAGGAGGUCCAUACGCUUUUUGUCACUGGUCUUCCUAUGGAUAUUUAACCACAUGAGCUUUACCUUCUCUUUCAAUCAUUUAAGGGAUUAUAUAAGGUUCACUGAUCAAGCUAACAUCAAAACAGCCAGUUGGCUUGUUACAUUUGACAGCAGAGUGGGAGCAGAAGCAGCAACAAAUGCUGUAUUCACCCACCCUGCUGCACUGCACACUCAGAUGCGCUGGUAUCCCACAUCUGAAGCAUCUCCACAAGAAUUGAAGUCUUGUCAGUUUUGGUAAGUAUUUAACUGCCAUUAUCCAAGAACUCAGAUUUCUCUGUGGAGUGAUGCAGAGUGAAAGAUGGGAUUUUGUUUUCAGGUUGGACUUUACUGAAGGACAGUUUGGAUAACUGGCUCGUUUCCACUCAACUUGGAGGGGGUGGAGUGGUCAGUAAGGACUGUGGAUUUAAGAACUUUAUUGGUGAUCUUUUUUACCAAGAGGAAAGGUCCUGUGGAUCCUAUUUACUGCAUGGACUAGUCAUUUUUGUUGUUAUAAUUGUAUGUUGUGUGUCAAUAACUUGCUUAAACACUGGCUGUCAGAGACUUAAGAAUAAACUGGUAGCAUCAUCUAGGUGGUUAUCAUGAAAUGAUAAAAGGAGGGAGUGUGAUAUUAAAGAGUUAAUUUGCUCUGCUGACCUGCAGGGAAUUGAAUGUCCUGAGACUAGGGUGGGAUGCCUCUGACUUAGAGGUAGAUGGUAAGGAAUACACAUUCCCAUCCUUUGCCAUUCAGAGCCAUUUACAUGGCCAUCUCCUAUUAUUCAGAGAUAACUUACAUUUGCAUCAUCAUCCUUUUCAAAAUCAGUAAGAACAUUGCAGUUGGAAUUUUGACUACUCCCUGUAGUUAAAAAAAAACUUGCAACAGAUUUGACCAUUAAGGGAUGAUUUAAAUUACACUGUUUCUGGAAAUGAUGUCGUCACUGCAUUGUGUCUUGAGUAGCAUGUGACUGUGAGGGAGUGGCGGGGGGGUGGGCUUGUCUUGUAUGCAUUACUGUCAUGUAAAGAUUUUGUAUAAGGAAAGAACUGUUUCCUUUGUUCAGAGAUCCCUUGACAUGGCUUCACAAGCAUUGCAAAGUGUGUUAAAGGGUUCCUCCAGAGAGCUUCCUGUACUUGCCUAAUAAAUUUUGCUUGUUCACAGAA